UUUGUGGAUACGGGUAACCUGUCACAUGCAGUCGAGCGAACAGAACCGGUAGCUUGCUCCCGGAUGUUAGCGGCGGACGGGUGAGUAACACGUGGGUAACCUGCCUGUAAGACUGGGAUAACUCCGGGAAACCGGAGCUAAUACCGGAUAGUUCCUUGAACCGCAUGGUUCAAGGAUGAAAGACGGUUUCGGCUGUCACUUACAGAUGGACCCGCGGCGCAUUAGCUAGUUGGUGGGGUAAUGGCUCACCAAGGCGACGAUGCGUAGCCGACCUGAGAGGGUGAUCGGCCACACUGGGACUGAGACACGGCCCAGACUCCUACGGGAGGCAGCAGUAGGGAAUCUUCCGCAAUGGACGAAAGUCUGACGGAGCAACGCCGCGUGAGUGAUGAAGGUUUUCGGAUCGUAAAGCUCUGUUGUUAGGGAAGAACAAGUGCGAGAGUAACUGCUCGCACCUUGACGGUACCUAACCAGAAAGCCACGGCUAACUACGUGCCAGCAGCCGCGGUAAUACGUAGGUGGCAAGCGUUGUCCGGAAUUAUUGGGCGUAAAGGGCUCGCAGGCGGUUUCUUAAGUCUGAUGUGAAAGCCCCCGGCUCAACCGGGGAGGGUCAUUGGAAACUGGGAAACUUGAGUGCAGAAGAGGAGAGUGGAAUUCCACGUGUAGCGGUGAAAUGCGUAGAGAUGUGGAGGAACACCAGUGGCGAAGGCGACUCUCUGGUCUGUAACUGACGCUGAGGAGCGAAAGCGUGGGGAGCGAACAGGAUUAGAUACCCUGGUAGUCCACGCCGUAAACGAUGAGUGCUAAGUGUUAGGGGGUUUCCGCCCCUUAGUGCUGCAGCUAACGCAUUAAGCACUCCGCCUGGGGAGUACGGUCGCAAGACUGAAACUCAAAGGAAUUGACGGGGGCCCGCACAAGCGGUGGAGCAUGUGGUUUAAUUCGAAGCAACGCGAAGAACCUUACCAGGUCUUGACAUCCUCUGACAACCCUAGAGAUAGGGCUUUCCCUUCGGGGACAGAGUGACAGGUGGUGCAUGGUUGUCGUCAGCUCGUGUCGUGAGAUGUUGGGUUAA
RNAcentral lists this ribosomal RNA (1072 nucleotides) under Bacillus sp. (in: firmicutes). Its description in RNAcentral is "bacterial SSU rRNA". It matches the Rfam family "Bacterial small subunit ribosomal RNA", at positions 22 to 1083 of the family's 1533-position model. The record is from RNAcentral. Lineage: Bacteria; Bacillati; Bacillota; Bacilli; Caryophanales; Bacillaceae.